Molecule: ribosomal RNA, 181 nt
Filed under: Rhinobatos rhinobatos (common guitarfish)
Lineage: Eukaryota; Metazoa; Chordata; Chondrichthyes; Rhinopristiformes; Rhinobatidae
Description: partial small subunit ribosomal RNA
Source: RNAcentral
CACCGCGGUUAUACGAGUGACUCACAUUAAUACUUUACGGCGUAAAGGGUGAUUAAAAAUAAUCUAACUUACACUAAAGUUAAGACUUCAUCAAGCUGUCAUACGCACUCAUGAAUAGAAAAUUCACCAACGAAAGUAACUUUAAUUAAACAGAACUUUUGACCUCACGACAGUUAAGACC